GUGCUCUCUCACACAGACAGGAAGUGUAGUCCUCAAGAGGCACAGGAAACGGGGAAGGCCUGGAGUCCUGGAAAGGCUGAUAACUCCCACAUUUUUCCUUUGACGGAAGUGGGGAGAUGGGGUGGCCGCUUGUAAGACGUGCUCGAAAUAGCUUGGUGGUGUUCUCUCCUUCUACUACUUCUGACUUUGUAUAAGGCAGCCUUCUAUGCUUGGGGAAAGGCCAUAUCUAAGUUGGAGAGCAUCUGCCUUGCAGAGCCGUCUUUCCCAUAGGGCUUAGUGGUGCGUUGCGCCGGGGCUCCGGCCUCUCAGAGGCGCCCCAGCGAGUGGGGGAGCUGCGCGGCUUUGCCGGCGGCCUCCCCUUUCUCUGCGCGCCCGCCAGCUGUGCCCUGUCAACCAUAUGGCUGGCGGGCGCGCAGCUUCCCUCCCAAGCCUCUGGAGGGAUUGCUCUCCCACAGCGGCAUGGGGGAGAGUUGCGCACCCUCCCCAUUGCUGGCAGUGCGCAGCUUCACCCCCUCCCCCACUAUCCAUGGUAAUUUAGGGGCGCUAAGCAUGGCCAGCAGGGACGUGGGUGGUGCUGUUGGUUAAACCACAGAGCCUAGGACUCGCUGAUCAGCAGGUCGGCGGUUCUAAUCCCUACGAUGGAGUGAGCUCCCGUUGCUUGGUCCCAGCUCCUGCCAACCUAGCAGUUCAAAAGCUCGUCAAAAUGCAAGUAGAUAAAUAGGUACCGCUCCGGUGGGAAGGUAAACGGCAUUUCCGUGUGCUGCUCUGGUUUGCCAGAAGUGGAUUAGUCAUGCUGGCCACAUGACACCGAAGCUGUAUGCCGGCUCCCUCGGCCAAUAAAGCGAGAUGAGCGCUGUAACCCCAGAGUCGGUCACGACUGGACCUAAUGGUCAGGGGUCCCUUUACCCCCUUUAAGCAUGGCCAGUGGUCAGGGAUGAUGGGAGCUGGAAGUUGAGCAAGAUCUGGAGAGCCACAGACAUUUCCCAAACUUCUUCUGACUUGGUAUGAGACAGCCUCCUAUGAUUAGGGACAGGCCAUAUCUAAGUGGGAGAGCAUCUGCCUUGCAUGGAGAAAGGCCCAGGUUCAAUCCCCAAGAAAUAUCCAGGUAGGGCUGGAAGUGCCACCUUCCUUCCUGAAAACCCUGGAGAGCUGUUGCCAGUCACUGACAACACUGAGCCAAGGGGACCGAUGGCCUGACUUCCUGCGCAUCCCACAAUUUGCAUGUUGACAAGCUGGAAUGUGUACAGAGGAGGGUAAAUAAGAUGAUCAAGGGUCUAGAACAGGGGUUGUCAACCUGGUCCCUACCACCCACUAGUGGGAGUUUCAGGAUUCUAGGUGGGUGGCAGCGGGUUCUACAGCACAGGCUGAAUCCUUCUUCCAUCGAACACUGGUGGGCGGUAAGGAAAUUUUGCCAUCAAGAAAGAUGCAUUAGUGGGCAGUAGGGAAAAAAAAGGUUGACUACCCCUGGUCUAGAAGACAAGCCUUAUGAGGAAUGGUUGAAGGAGCUGGCUAUUUUUAGCAUAGAGAAAAGGAGAUUGAGAGGAGACAUUGUUAUAAGAAAAACCGUUCCCUUUCCCUUAUGGGGUAUUCUAGAGCCCACAUAGAGUCCUUAAGUGGGUUCCCUAUCGGUUGGAGAAAAUAACAGAGGUCAACCAGAGUAUAUUGAGAAGCAAGGCGGCUAGUAAGCCUGAUCUUUAUUCAAGGAACUGUUGCAACAGGGUCCCCACUCACCACACACAGGAGGGAGGAGGAACCAAGAACAAUGGUGCAUAAGCCCUUAUAUAAACUUCUGAAAUUGCCCACCCUGUAGCCCAAGACCACCCCUGAAACAUCAUACAUACAUCACAGAAGGAGGUGGUCUACAGCAGAAAUCCUGUCUGCCACGAUACCUGAUAAUGGUCAUUGAUUGCAUUACCUGGGUAGCGUGGCCAUUCUUUCGUGAUGGUUACUACUUUAGUUCCUGAAUCCAGGUCACAGACUCACCCUAUUCAUACACAAAUACACCCUUAAGACAGGAUUUGCAAGCAAAAAAGCAAUGGGAAGGCUUUCCCCAUUUGCCUCCCUUACUGCAGAGGAAUAUUUGAGGUCACUGGGAGAGUCAAAAUGGCUUCAGGAUUGCUCUCCCGUACUAUUUCAGACACACGGUUCAUAUAUUUAGAUAUGUGUGCAUUUAUGAAUAUUUAUUCUAUAUUUGAGACCUUAAAAUUCCUAUAAUAUCUUGUAACCCUGGAACGUUCAGCUUUGUCCAAAUUCAUGGAUUAUGAAGCUAUCUGUGGCUCCUAGCCAUGAUGGUUCAGAAAAGGGCAACCAAAAAUUAUGCAGGGGGUUGGGCAAAUCCACUAAGUGGAAAGGUUGCAGCGUUUGGGACUUUUUAACGUUUGGAGGACAGGUGAGUAAGAGGCAACAUGGUAUAAGUUUACAAAAUUAUGGGGAAAGUGGGGAGAGAGAGAGAGAGAGAAGUUUUUCUGCCUCUCUCGUAGCACUAGAACUGGUGGACGUCCAAAGAAGUUGGAUGUUGGACUAUCCAAGACACAUAAACACAAGUCCUUCUUCACACAGCACAUAGCUGAACCACUGAACUCAUUCCCAGAGGAGGCAGUGAUGGCCCCUCCCCAACUUGGAUGGCUUCAAAAGAGGAUUGGACAAAUUGAUGGAGGACGACUGUUGAUGGCUGCUAGCCAGGCUGGCUAUGCUCUGCCUCCGCAGCUGGAGGAAGCCAUGCUUCAGAACGCUACUUGUUGGAAGUCACAGGGGGAUCUUGUGCUCAGGUCCUGCUCGAGGGUUUCCCACAAGGCAUCUGCUUAGCCCAGGCAUAGGCAAACUCGGCCCUCCAGAUGUUUUGGGACUACAACUCCCAUGAUCCCUAGCUAGCAGGACCUGUGGUCAGGGAUGAUGGGAAUACAUCUGGAGGGCCGAGUUUGCCUAUGCCUGGCUUAGCCACUGUGAGAACAAGAUGCUGGACUAGGUAGGGCUCCUUUGGCCUAAUCCUGCAGGCUCUUCUUCUGUCCUCAUGCAAAGGCAUGGCACGUGCUCGGAACUAGCUCAGCACAGGACCCAUAAACGGGGAGGUGCGUGUAGGACUAUUUGGGAAACAGGAGCAGGAAACAGAUGGAACCAACACUUCAGAUAACUAAUCUAAUAGAUAAACAGGGCAUGUUUUAAUAAUGGACAUGUACAGUAGUUGGUUAAGGGUGCUGAGAGUUGUUAAAGGUAAAGGGACCCCUGACCAUUAGGUCCAGUUGUGGCCGACUCUGGGGUUGCGACACUCAUUUUGCUUUAUUGGCUGAGGGAGCCGGCAUACAGCUUCCAGGUCAUGUGGCCAGCAUGACUAAGCCGCUUCUGGCGAACCAGAGCAGCGCACAGAAACGCCGUUUACCUUCCUGCCGGAGUGGUACCUAUUUAUCUACUUGCACUUUGACAUGCUUUUGAACUGCUAGGUUGGCAGGAGCAGGGACCGAGCAACGGGAGCUCACCCCAUCGCGGGGAUUCGAACCGCCGACCUUCUUAGGAGACCCAUAUACUCCCCCCCGAGCUACAAUCAGAGGUGUAUCUAGGGACUGGCAAAACUGACCCCUCGCUGGGGGCGCAGGUCUGGGGCGUAUGCAGAAAUCACCUAUGUGUGUGAUGAUGUGCCACCGCUAUUGCAGCAAGAUCAAAUGUGGGAGAAUCUUCCCAUCCUGACACCGCAACACAAAGGUGAGCAGUGAAGUGAUUUCUUUUGGGGGGUGGGGGUGGAGAGAACAGAUACAGCUCCUUGCCAAGGGCACAAGGGACCCUGGGAAUGCCUCUGGCUACUGUUCCCAGAGUUUCCUGAGAAGAAGGAGUGAUGGUUAAAGCACUUUGGGAAGUGUAGUUCUGGAAGGAGAAUAGGGGGUCUCCUAGCAUCGCUCAGCACCCUUAACAGACUACAACUCCCAGGGUUCUUUGUGGGACGCUGUGGCUGUUUAAAGUGGUAUCAUAGCUUUUUAAAUGUGUGGUGUGACUGUAGCCACACAAAGAGGCCUUUCUAGGGAGCAAGCAAGUGUGCUGGCUUGCCCCUGAAAUUGUGGGGGCCGUGUGACGUGCGCAUGUCUUGCAACAUGCCAACGUCACUUGCACAUGCCAGGCAAUGUGCUGGCAUGCUGUUUGCAUGCCGGAUGGAUUGUGAUGCGAGCACACUGCACGGCGUGCGCAGGUGAGUUGAGCAUGUUGCGCCACUUGCACGCACGGCCGCCACAGAAUUUUGAGGGGCCCAGCCCCCUUCUUGACAAUUUUGGGGGGUCCUUGCCCCCCACCCCACAGAUGGAGCCCCUGUGAGCAAGAAAGACGCAGCUGAGAGUCUUGGUACAGAGUGGUCCAUGCCCCAGACAGAAAAGAAGUGGGGCAGCUGUCUGCUUGGAGGGAGAAGAGAGGGAAACAGAACCGCCCCGACUGAGUUGACUCUCUUCUCCAUCUUCGCCUUCGUCUUCUGUCUCGGGUGUGGCGCCUCUGACUCCCUAGGGGGAUCCCAGCCAGAAUCUUCUCUCGCUGGUGUCGUCUCUGUGUCUCGCAAGGGAGGCCCGAGCAAGAUUUUUGAUGGUGGUGGCAGUCUGGCAUUCCUGCGCAGGUUUUGGUGGCAUGCCAACUCUGGUAAAGAAAUGAGUCUCUUUCCCAUUGAGCUAGAGGCCUGAGCAGGUUGGUAAGUCAGGCCCAUGAAACCGGGAGAGAGAAAAGUCAGCCUUCUGAGGUUGCGAGCUGUUAGUCCUGUGCCUGUAUCCAAGUGCAUCUAAUCAAGAGAAAGGGAAGAAUGCUAGCAGACAGACAGGAGCACCCCACCCCAAUUUCAGUGCUCCAAGGUCUUUGCCCAAGAAGGGGCCUGAAGUUGCAGUGUUGCAUUAUUGUGAUCAGCGGCUUGAAUGGAAACUUGCAAGGUGUCUUGGGUAAUUGCAAGAUAUUAACGUAGCAAUGUUUGCCCCUUUCGAAAGACGAGUUAUCAGACUGUGCACUGGGGAGGGGGCCUUAGCUCAGUGCUAGAGCAUCUGCUUUGCAUACAGAAGGUCCCAGGUAGAUUACCUAGCAUCUCCAGGUAGACCCCUGCUUUAAAAUCUAGAGAGACACUGCCUGCCAGUGUAGAAAUACAGUGGUACCUUGGUUCUCAAACUUAAUCCAUUCCAGAAGUCCGUUCCAAAACCAAAGUGUUCCAAAAUCAAGGUGUGCUUUCCCAUAGAAAGUAAUGCAAAACAGAUUAAUCCGUUCCAGACUUUUAAAAAACCACCCUUAAAACACUGCAUUGAUGAUAGUCAUUGUUUGGAUGGGAGGCUUUUAUCCAUUUCCACAGUCACACAAUCAAUCAAUCAAUCAAUCAAUCAAUAGCUGAACUGGGAUCCAGUAGUCACAAGAACAAAUUAACUGAAAAAACCUCAAAACAAAAACGCAAAAUAAAUGGCAAAAGCACCAAAUAUAAGCUCCAAAUAUCACCUCCGAACACUGCAAUCAGAAACAGAAGGUUUGUAUUACAAUGGGGGGACGCAAAUGAGCAGUGCAGCAGGAAACACAGGGGGACUCAAAACGGAGCACGUUCGGCUUCUGAAAAAAAGUUCGAAAAAAGUUUGAAUACCGGAACAUCUAUUUCCGGUGUUGAAGCGUUCGGGUUCCAAGUUGUUCGUGAACUAAACUGUUCGAAAACCGAGGUACCGCUGUACUCAGGUUGAUGGGCCAAGAGUUUAUCUCUGUAUAAGGCACCUUCCUAUGCGUCUGAACACGAGCUAAAGUAGUGCAUGAAUAGCCAUGGUGUCAGUGAAAUGCACUCUGCGUAUGCUCUGAGGAGCUCUCUCCUUUUAUGUGUUCCAUUCUGUCGUAAGGCCAAGCCCCGGGCAGAGGAAGAGAGAAAAGGCUCAGGAACACAGCACUUCAAUCCAGCCUUCCGUCUCCAUUUCAGCACUGCCCUCAGGGCACAGUCAGCAAAGAUUCUCUCCACAAACUCUUGCAGCUGCCAAACAGCAAAGGGGAGCCAACCUCCUGUUCUCAGGAGGAGGAAACAGAUCUUCUGAAUGCCAGGGGGAAAAAGAGAGACAGCUGGAUCCUUUCAAGAAACACAAACAAGUCCAUUCAAACGUCUGGGCAAAUUGUGGUGGGGCCUGACAGUCCGUUUCCUAAACUGAAACCCUUGAGUUGAACGGAACCACCAUUUCACUGAAGCAAGAAGCCCUGCAAUCCAGCUUUGAUGAUCUAACCGUAUGUGUUUUUCUAGAUCCUUCUAGGAGGCAGCGAUACCCAUUAACUUGGAUGGCUUUAAAGGAAGAUUAGACAAAUUCAUGGAGGAAAAGGCUGUCAAUGGCUGCUAGGAGGGGAAAGGGCUCUUGGGCUUCAAUCCUGCUUGCAGGUUUCCCAUUGGGGCAUCUGGCUGGCCGCUGUUGUGAUGGCCUGGGAUUCAGACUCAGAGGCUGAACCUGAGGAAUUCCAGCCUGCACAGGAGUCCCCGCCUCCAGAACCAGCUGAGCCGGGGCUGGGGCUUGAGCCUGAAGGGUCCUCACCUGUGCCAGAUCCUCAGAAGCAGACACCAGCUGAGUCUGCUCUGGCUCCUGAGGUGAUGGAGGACCCAUUGCCUGCAGGUGCUCCACUCUCAGCCCCGUCAGGGGAGGCUGAGGUUGCCUCUGGGUCCAGUAACCCUCUAGCCUCUCCUGAGCUGCAGAGGCUCAGGGCAGAGAGGCGGAGGGAACUAAGUUCCCGCAGGAGGAGUGCUCACCUCCAGGCCAGGAGAGGCGAGUCACCUGUGGACCGGGGCCACCCUAUGCCUCGGGGCAGAUAAAAGCCAGCCAGCCCCAGUCCCAGGUUGUGGGAGCAACGUUGUUGGUAGCCUGUCCCUGCCUGCACCCUGUCCUGCUUCUCUGCCAGAGCUCCUGACCUCACCCAACUCCCUGCCUUGGACCCAGCUACAACUUUGAUGGACUGUCUCCCUACUGCACCCUCAACCUCGGACUGGACUCGGACCUCGCCUCACGGAUAACCCUUGGGACCAGCACAGCUUUGAGAACAGGAUGCUGGACUAGAUGGGCCAUUGGCCUGAUCCAGCAGGCUCCUCUUCUGUUCUAAACAUAGCAGAAAGGGUCUCAAGAUUGCAGUGGGCUGUGGCUUGCUGCUUUGAACUGCUGCCUGCACAGGCCAUAAUCCAACAGGUGAAGCUUCUUCUUCUUUUAAUCGUCACUGCAUCUCCAUUCCAGGAAAGGACAGCAGAUAAAAUGAUAGAUUACAACAGACCGAGAAUGAUAUUCACAAACAAAUCUAAAAUUGGCUAUUAUAAUGUACGUUUCAUAGCAUUGUAACAACAACAACUACAACCAAAACCUAUGAAAAAAUAUUUAAAAAACCUGACUGUCAAAGGAAAACAACACUGUGGAAAUAGAGCAUGUCUGGAAAAUCAAGACAAUUCAUAUAAUCCUGAUUUUGGUAACAGCUCAGGGCUUAGUUCCAAAGGAAAACUGUUUCUGCUUAAUGCAACGCAAAAAAGCUGUCAUUCUCCAGACUUCCUAUAUAAUCAGGAAAUUCCUAAAGAUCUCCUAACUCCACUCUUGAUGGAACGCCGUGCUGGAUACCACAGCUCUGUCUGAGCAAGAAAUAGAACUCUGAACAAUAUAAAAGAGGGAUGAUGAUAAAUUAUACUUUUCGUUUACAGUGCACUUUUGAGGGUUCAAAACACUUCACAUUUGUCUCAGUCAACUUUACAAGCAACCAUAUAGAGUAGACCAGGAUGAAGAAGAAGGCAAACGUAGAGAUACCACAUCUUUCAGCCUUGGGCUGGGGUAGAACAGUUUCUGCUGCUAAAAUGACAGGUGGACAAAUUGUCAACUUCAGUUCUCCAUGUUUCUUUCUUUUUUCUUUCAAUCUUAAAUUCAGGUCUCCACAUCUCUGCAACCAUUUGUGAUAUGUGUGUGCUUUUUAAAUAAAAAAAUAAUGAAGAAAAUUCACCAGCCUUUUAGUGGAAAUUUCUCUUAAUAAAUAUGUUUUUGUACACAGUUUUGACUAAAAUGCAUUCUUGCAUGCAAUUUCCACUAACAUAAUGAAUUUUUUUUUGCUUGUCCUUUUCACUAAUAUAUGUAUUUUUAUGUUCAUUUUUACCCUGGUAUAGGUUUUUUGUACACUUGGCCGGAAAGCUGCAUUGCAAAAUUUGGAGAAGCGCGAAUUCCCAAGGGUGGCUGCAUUAUGCUUUGUAUAUUGUUUCACGAAGUACCAACUGGGUAGGUUUGCCUUUAAACGCAAACUGACUCAAAUUUGACCCCUGUGCCUACCUACUACCAAAUUAAGCGUUAAGCCAUCAGUCUUGCUUCUUCCUGACCCUGUGUGAGAGGCAGAUGAGAUAUUCCAGGAUGAGAGAGGGUGGGGGGAGAAAUGGAUGCCCUCAGGUGAGAAAAUGAGAGGGCAAAGCCUUUUCUGUAUAGGACAAAAGUUAAGGUACACCUGAGAGAGGAGUUCUUAUUUUUAAAAAAUCCUUUUUUCUUUUCAUUCAUUCUUUCUUUUUAUUAUUUUUGGUUUAGAUUAGUUUAUUUUUAUUGAAUUAUGAAAAGCAUUAAUAAAACUUCUUUUUUAAAAAGGUCUUGCCUCUUCCCCUAUGCCUUGGGGUGAGGCGGGGUCACUGCCUUUUAAUUUUAAAGCACGGUGAGCGUACAUCAUUACGGGCUUCCUUAAAUUCCUAUCCACAAACGGUCUGACUCAGCAGAAGGCAGCUUCCAUGUUCCUGCUGCCCCCAGUUAUGAGCCUCUCAAUAUCAAUUCCUGGGGCAAAAUACACUCAUGGUCUGCUUUUGUGCUUCCCAAAGGCAUAACACCAAGCACAUGGAAUGGACAGGCCUUUAGCCUGACAUCAAACAGGGCUCAACUGAUGACUGGGAGUGGCUGCCAAGACCAUAUAAAACCAGUCCUGAAAGACCUACAUUGGCUCCCAGUACGUUUCCGUGCACAAUUCAAAGUGUGGGACUGAUUUUAAAGCCCUAAACCAGGGUCAGCAAACUUUUUCAGCAGGGGGGCCGGUCCACUGUCCCUCAGACAUUGUGGGGCGGCAGACUAUAUUUUGAAAAAAAUAUAUGAACGAAUUCCUAUGCCCCACAAAUAACCCAGAGAUGCAUUUUAAAUAAAAGGACACAUUCUACUCAUGUAAAAACAUGCUGAUUCCCGGACCGCCUGUGGGCCGGAUUUAGAAGGCAGUUGGGCAAGAUCCAGUCCCCGUGCCUUAGUUUGCCUACCCAUGCCCUAAACAGCCUCAGCCCAGUAUACCUGAAGGAGCAUCUCCACCCCCAUUGUUCAGCCCGACACUGAGGUCCAGCUCCGAGGGCCUUCUGGCGGUUCCCUCUCUGCGAGAAGUGAAGUUACAGGGAACCAGGGAGAGGGCCUUCUCGGUAGUGGCGCCCGCCCUGUGCAACACCCUCCCAUCAGAUGUCAAGGAAAUAAACAACUAUCCGACUUAUCAAAGACAUCUGAAGGGAACCCUGUUUAGGGAAGUUUUUAAUGUUUGAUGUUGAUAAUUAUAGUGCUCUUCAUAUUCUGCUGGGAAACCCAGCCAGAUAGGCAGGGUAUAAAUAAUAAAUUAUUAUGAUUGUUAUUAUGUUUCCAUCCACAAAGAGAAACCAACCACCCAGGAAAUGUGAUGCACCUCCAUGAGACUUAAUGGAUGGCAAAUAGGAGCCUUGUGCCAGCUGGCCAUUAUAGAAUCAUAGACUUGUGAAGUUGUAAGGGACCACGAGGGUCAUCUAAGUCCACUGCAGGAAUCUUUUGCCCAACACUGGACUCAAACCCACAACCCUGAGAUUAACAGUCUCAUGCUCUACCGACUGAACUUUAAGAACACCAGUUUAAGAAUGGUUGCCCGAGUCUGAUUUCUCCUCCUCUUUCCUCCCUGUCCCUUUCCCCUUGUGUGUUGUGUUUCUUUAGAUUGUAAACUUGCAGGAAGGAGCAACGGUCUUGCUUUAAUUGAUCAUAUGUAAGCCUUUUUGACCAAAGAAUGGGAUGUAAAUGGAAAUAACAAUACAGUGGUAUCUCUGGUUGUGAAUGGGAUCCGUUCCGGAGGCCCAUUUGCAACAUAAAAACCCCGCAACCUGAAGCACCGUAUCUGCGCAGGUGUGCGGCGCGAUUUAGCGCUUCUGCGCAUGUGUGAGCGGCGAAACCCAGAAGUAACCCUUUCCAGUAAUUCCAGGUCGCCGCGGGACACAACCUGAAAAAACGUAACAUGAAGCAAACGUAACAUGAAGUAUGACUGUACCUCGGGUUACAUACGCUUCAGGUUACAGACUCCGCUAACCCAGAAAUAGUGCUUCAGGUUAAGAACUUUGCUUCAGGAUGAGAACAGAAAUUCUGCUCUGGCGGCGCAACGACAGCAGGAGGCCCCAUUAGCUAAAGUGGUGCUUCAGGUUAAGAACAGUUUCAGGUUAAGAACGGACCUCCGGAACGAAUUAAGUACUUAACCCGAGGUACCACUGUACUACUACUGCUACUGCUGCUGCUACUACUAAUAAUUGUUGCACAGUGCAAUGAGGACACCUCCAGCUCUCCUUCCUUGACUCUGGAGGCAAACGGGUUGUGUCUGGACAGGCAAACUUUGACAGUUUGAUUUUAUUUGCUGAUGACAGAUCUGCCGCUGCUGUUUUAUGGAGUGAUGUCAUCUUACGUUGUCCCAAGCUGAGGAGGAGAGCAGAUCCCAUGUACCUGCAGCCUCAGCUAGCUGGCUCUCAUGAGCCAAAGUAUGCAAGGUUUCAACUUGCACCAAAAACCUCAUAAAUUUCCUGCUGCUGCUUCCUCCUCCUCUCUGCCUCCUUAACAGAAAUAGCAAGCUCUUGACGACCUUCUCAUCCUGUGACAACACUUCUUUCUUAUUUUUUAAAAAUUCUUCCUAAUUUUAGGUGACAUCUGCCCUCGGUCACAAGAACAGCAAGCACUCCUUUUCGGUGGAAGGAUUUGCAAGAGGGUGUCAUUGACCCCCUGAAGAAAUAUGAACAGGGCUGGAGAGCCUGAAGGAUACCAGAGCCGUGAGCCAUCGGCCUACUCCUCCAUGUGCAGAGGAAAAGAU
Non-coding RNA from Podarcis lilfordi (Lilford's wall lizard), 11010 nucleotides. Lineage: Eukaryota; Metazoa; Chordata; Lepidosauria; Squamata; Lacertidae. The record is from the annotation of a GenBank genome assembly.